GCCCCUAUCGUCUAGAGGCCUAGGACAUGGGAUUUUCAUUCCCAGAACAUGGGUUCGAAUCCCGUUGGGGGUA
RNAcentral lists this transfer RNA (73 nucleotides) under Fibrobacter intestinalis. Its description in RNAcentral is "tRNA-Glu". It matches the Rfam family "tRNA". Rfam says of the family: Transfer RNA (tRNA) molecules are approximately 80 nucleotides in length. Their secondary structure includes four short double-helical elements and three loops (D, anti-codon, and T loops). RNAcentral also lists the same sequence under 3 other names. The record is from RNAcentral. Lineage: Bacteria; Pseudomonadati; Fibrobacterota; Fibrobacteria; Fibrobacterales; Fibrobacteraceae.